CCUACGGGUGGCAGCAGUAGGGAAUAUUGCACAAUGGGCGAAAGCCUGAUGCAGCAACGCCGCGUGCGCGACGAAGGCCUUCGGGUCGUAAAGCGCUUUUCGGGGAGAUGAGGAAGGACAGUAUCCCCGGAAUAAGGCUCGGCUAACUACGUGCCAGCAGCCGCGGUAAAACGUAGGAGCCAAGCGUUAUCCGAAUUCACUGGGCGUAAAGCGCGUGCAGGCGGUCUGAUAAGUUGGAUGUAAAAGCUCCUGGCUCAACUGGGAGAGGACGUUCAAUACU
RNAcentral lists this ribosomal RNA (280 nucleotides) under uncultured bacterium. Its description in RNAcentral is "partial 16S ribosomal RNA". It matches the Rfam family "Bacterial small subunit ribosomal RNA", at positions 338 to 634 of the family's 1533-position model. The record is from RNAcentral.